Molecule: RNA transcript, 8577 nt
Organism: Scylla paramamosain (green mud crab)
Lineage: Eukaryota; Metazoa; Arthropoda; Malacostraca; Decapoda; Portunidae
Gene name: zinc finger FYVE domain-containing protein 1-like
Exons: 17
Source: RefSeq, a predicted model, not a curated record
GCUGAGGGGCGCCAAGCUGGGCGGGGGCGGCGGAGAAGUGUUUGGCGCGAGAAACAUUACACCAUGACAUUACCGCUGACGGGUCUCUGUCAGGCUCUCAAGGUCGAUAUCUUGUAUGACGCACACCACUUCCCUUGCCUUACCUGAGGAGUACUCCUGCCCACGCAGCAUCCAGGGGCGUGCAGCGAGCUGAGUGACGCGCCCUGCACGCAGUGGCAGCUCGGGGCAGUAAUGCGGGGGCGUCACGAGCUAGGAUGACAAACCCCCCCCACUCAAGUGAUAAACAUGACUCGUGAAACCCGUGCUGCUUAACAAAGAAAAGUCCAGAAAAGACAUCUUUGUUGACAUUUUGGUUUGGAAUGCCUGGAGGCGCCUUGCUUACUUUCUCACAGCCACUUUCUCUCACUCACUGCCCCAAGGGGUGAAGCAGCAGCGUGUUGCAGGCAGCCUUGGUGUGGUGAGUGGUGAUGGAGCCACGACGCAGUGGCCGGGGCUCAACGGGAGGAGGACCAGGCGUCGCUUACAGCCUCAGGAUAGAGAAUGCUGCAGGCAUGUCUCGCAUCCCUGCAAGUCUGUCCAUUCCAUCCUCCACUGGUCCUGCCAUCAUGAGCUCCUUGGCCUCUGACACUCCCUGUGACACCUACUUCAACUCUAUGGCAUCUCAGCAGAGCAGCAUUGCGCCAGACAUCCUCAACACGCAGGAGAUGCGCAGUGUUGACCUGGAGCCUGUGGAGAAGAAGUGCUUCAAGCUUAUCAAUGAGAAGGAGGAGCUGCAGGUGAAGAAUGCCAAAGAGUUGCUGAGUAAGAUGGGGUGUUCCAGUGACAAGAACCUCUAUAUCAAGGUGGUCUCCAUAUUUGGUAACACUGGCGAGGGAAAGUCGUACACACUGAAUGAAAUUUUCUUUAAUGGUGCUGAAGUCUUCAAGACAAGUGCCAACCAGAGCUCCUGUACCCUGGGUGUGUGGGGGGCGUACGACCCCUUCACCAAGGCACUUGUCCUGGACACCGAAGGUAUGCUUGGCAUCAGCAACAGCUCCAAGCAGCGGAAACGCCUUCUACUUAAGGUUCUUGCCAUUUCUGACAUCAUUAUCUACAGGACUCGGGCAGAACGACUCAACACUGACAUGUACAAAUUUUUAGCCGAGGCCUCGCGGGCAUACACCAAGUACUUCCGUGGUGAUCUUGAGGCCGUGGCACGUAAGGCAGAGUGUGACUGUAUCUUUGGCCCCCCCGUCUUCAUAUUCCAUGACACCCGACACACCAACGUUCUUACAGAAGAGAUGGGCCAGAAACCUGAGGAACAGCUCAAGGAAAACUUCACCAAGCAGGACCUCAAGAUUGAUGGCUUCAACAGCAUCCACUACAUUGGUGAGCGGAAUAAUGGAAGGGACACAGACUUCAAGAGGAUCAAGAAGGUGGUGUUUGAGGAGCUCAGCAACAUCAAUGUUAGAUCACCUCGUCAACCUAAAAUUAUUCUAGAUAUGUUAGAUACCAUCAACAAAAAAUUCAGUGGGCAGAUACAGAGCAGUGAGCCAGCCUUUCCUGAUGAGUACUUCACCUGCACCAGCGUGUGUGAGGCAUGUCAGUCCCGCUGCUGUCUCUUCAUGAACCACUACAAGCAUGACAACGGCUCCAAGCACCACCAUGCUGAGCGUCAGUGUAAAUACCACCAUAAGUUUGAUAAUAAGGUGUUCAUAUGCCGGAAGUGUGACUCUGAGGGGGAGCGCCGCCUGGUGGUGCCCAAGACAGCAUCCGCCAAGGACAGCACAUGGCUCGGCCUUGCUAAGUUUGCUUGGUCAGGGUACGUGCUGGAGUGUGAGAAGUGUGGCAUUAUCUACCGCAGCCGCCAGUACUGGUAUGGCAAUGAGUCACCGGACAGGACGGUGGUGAAGGAGGAGUACCAGCAUGUGUGGCAGGGCAGCGUCAUGGGCAGCACCGCUCAUGCUGGGCGACAGGUCCUGGAGGGCAUGGCAGCACUGGGUUCGGCUAUCUCCACCAUAUCCACACCCCCAGCCAAGGUCGUCUCAGCAUGGCUCACCAACCAAGUUAACCCCACCUACUGGAAGCCAAACCAUCUGUGCACUCACUGUAAGAUCUGCCAGGUGGGCCUCGACACCAUCCACCACUGCCGCAAAUGUGGAGACGGGUUCUGUGAUCCUUGCUCUGAGGAUAAGAUGCCGGUGCCUGAGCUGGGCUGGGGGGAGGAGCCAGUCAGAGUGUGCAAGAACUGCUACAAGGCCAGAAAUAGUGAGACAGGACAGGUUGAGGAUUACGAGUGGUCGAGUGAUGCACAGACAGUGCGUGCCCGGCAGGUCACCGAGGUGAUAUCUGGCACGCUGGCCACCGUGGCAAAGUACCCGCUGGACUUCCUGAAGGACAGUGCCCGGCCAUCCUACUGGGUGCCAGACGAUAUGAUCACCCAGUGUGUGGUAUGCAAUGCAGAAUUUGGGCCACGCCUACCCCUCCACCACUGCCGGGCAUGUGGCCAGGGUGUGUGCAGCAGCUGCUCCCCAAACCUCCGAUCUGUGAAGGAGCGUGGCUGGGACCACCCCGUCAGAGUGUGCAACAACUGCAUCAAGUAGUAAACACUUGAAUUUUUCCAUUUGCAAAGUAAACAUCACUAAAAUUUUUUCUGAAAUAUUGUACGUUAGAGUAAUAGAAAAGAAAUAUCCUCAGGAAUAUAUAAUUUUAAAAGCCCUUUGAAGUUUAUGCAGAUUAUUUUUUAUUUCUUGAAUUAUACCAUAUAGUCCUUCACUUGUUAUGCAGUGUUAUUGCAUCCCAUAGUAUCACAAGAAAUUGCUUAAUUUUUCAUUUUGUUUACCUUUAAAAAGAGCGUUGUGUUCCAGCUUUUUUGUGACAGGAACACUAAUUAUUAAUUAUACCUUGGGAAAACAUUUUUUUUUCCGUUCCCAUUUUUUUUAUUUAUUUAUUAUUUGAGCUUUAAUCUUUAGUGGAUAUCUGGUAGAGUACCUGCUCUCUGAACUACUUUUACUGUCUGUUGUCUACUACUUAUUAUAUGCUUCUCUCUUGCUUGAUUACUAAUACUCCAUUUUAUCUGGCUUUUUUUGUUUGUCAGUAUAGAUUUUGUGAGUUUGGCUCAUUGAGGAGAGAGAGAGAGAGAGAGAGAGAGAGAGAGAGAGAGAGAGAGAGAGAGAGAGAAAGAGAGAGAAAGAGAGAUGAGUCCUUACAUGGGAUGAGGUCUUGAGGAGGAAUGUAGAGAACAGACAAACAAACAACAUGUAACCAUUCAGUGUAAUGAAGUGCAGCCUAGCAAUGAAAGGUGACACUUGUGAAUCCAGAACCUGCCUUUCAGAACACUGCCCCAUCACUUACCACAGACUGAGUAUUUCCCAUGGUUCUUUUCAUAUUCUUAUUUUACUCGUCCUCAAAUUUUCCUUUCAUAGUCUCACAUUCAGUUUACUUAUAUAUUUUUGUAUCUUUUUCUUUUAUAUAUGCUCAUAACAUUUUAAUCUUUUCAUAUGUCCAUUCAGUAUUAUUUCUUUUGAUUCACCCUCCAGGUUACUGUUUUGAGGGAGACAUUGAACUUAUAAGACUGCAUAUUUGCCAUUGUAACAAGUGGAUGACUAUAUUGUUUGUUCCUAAACAUGCAUAGUGUAUGUAUUUCGGGGAUCAUUUUAUUAUAUGUAUUUUUACUGAAAAGGAAGAAACAAAGGAUAGAUAUACAAGAUAAAACCUAAUUUUCAGAAGUACAACCAAAGUAAUGUAAGUUACACCCGAGAGGAGUGACAGGAAGCCUGGUGCUCGUGUGCUGCUGCCACACGCCCCUCAGGGUGUUGGGGCCGCACUACAUUACUGGUGCAUAUAGGAAGAAGAUACUGGAAUGAUGAGAAAAAUGGAUUCAAUUUUAUAUCAAUCCAUCAUGUGCUGGAUACUUCUGCCCUUGCAUCACCUGUGGUGAACUUUUGUUUAUUUUUAUUUUUAUGAAUCACUGUCUUGGCACUAAGAGAGAUGCAAGGGCCCUGGCACUUGUUGAAUUAAAAGUGAAUUUCUCUCUCUCUCUCUGUUCAGUGCUUGUCAGUACACACAGUGUGAGGCAGCAAAACACUUAUCAUUUCAAGUUGCUGUGGAAGCCAGAGCAAAAUAUCUACUGAGUUGGUGUGUACUACUGCACAGUGGACAGAAUCUGGAAAUAUAUUAUGUAAAUGUUCUUACAGAAAAUAUUUGAAAAAAAAUUUGAAAACUGAAGGUUCCCAGCUUUUCUUUUCUAUUUAUUUAUUUAUUUUUUAUUUUUUUUUUACUUAUUUAUUUAUUUAUUUUAUUUUAUUUUAUUUUAUUUUAUUUAUUUUUUUUUUUUCAUUAAAAACUGAACACUUUUCUUGUACGAGUGUGAUAUGUUGGUCUGGCAGAGUGGCAGGUCUACCAGUAACCAGAUCAAGUGAAAAGAAACCGAGGCAAUAGUUUUAGUAGUACAUAGUAGUCUAUAUCAAGCGUGAGAAAUACACACAUAUGUUUAUUAGCACUGAAACUAUAGAUGUAAAGCGUAUAUUUGAAGUUUUCUUUGUUCUAUUGUUGCUCACACUAACCCUCACUGGUCUGUUGUGGAAUUAUUGCACUGACACACUGAGUGAGGCACCGGUGUCCAGCAGUGGCCCAGGUAUGUCCCUUCAUUCAAGAGCAAACUGACCUGAAGCCACAUUUCCCUGAAAGUUCCUUAGUAAAAUAGAACUUUCAACAUUUUGUGAUAUUGUGUUAAGCUGAAUGUAUUUUAAACCACACAAAACAAAACAUAAUGUUCAAGUUGGUAGUCUUGGCCAGCAGUGUGCAAGUUGUGAGCACCUGAAGAGUGAGGUUGGCAUCCUUGCACUGCCUGGCUUGGGUCAGGCACAUGAUAUUUAUCAGUCAGUGGUGAUGGUGUGCAUGAGUUUUUCUUUUUUAUGGGUGUUUUCAUUAUUGUGUUUAGGGUUUUAUUUUCAUUUUCAAGGGUGCAGUGCAAUGCUUGUUAUUUUCUCUGUUGGUUGACCAGUUUUACAUUACACUGAAUCUUGAAUUGAAAUAUUUGCCAUUUAUGUUAUUCAGUAUUAGUGUUUGUGUUUUGGGUGAGAGUUUGGAUAUGGUUGUAAAUAUUUAUGUAUGGUGGAAUAUAUGGUCAGAGAUUAAUUCCAGUUAACUAUUGUAUGGGGAAACACAGCAUUCAAUACACAGGCAGUGCAUUGUGAUGGAUACCUAGAUGUCGCAACAUCUCAAACCUGACAAGCAAGACCUGUAGUGAUGCAUUGUGUAUCACUGACCAGGAAAAAGCAUGUCUCCAAGAAAUUAUUAAACCACAAAUAUAGAAUUUAUUCAAAGCCCAACUCAAUGUCUUGACAAUAGGCAGAUUCUUAAGGAUACACUACAUAAGCUUACUUCAAAACCCAACUCAGUAUGUCUUGACAAAAGGCAGAUUCUUAAGGAUGCACUACUUGAGCUUACUUCCAACAAUGCAGUGGAUUUCAUUUAACAGAGAAACUUACUAGACUUGUUAAGUUAGAACAUUGGUCCAAGUGAUGUUUGACCUAAUGUGUCAUGCAAAAUGUUCUGACACAGAGAUGUAGGCUAGAGGGAGGGUUGGGGUGAAGUGGCUAGUCAUGAAGUUGAUAUAUCCAGUCAAGGGGAACUUGGUGAGACUGUCUUGAAUACUGUUGUCUUCACCACAUGAGGUGACUUGUGCACUGAGGACAAGGCUGCCAGGCCAAUGUUGUCAUCAAAACUUGAAUUAACUCACAUGAGAUCACUCACAUCAUUCAUGAUCAUGCAACCACAGUAAGUUUUCCUGUCAACCAAUUAAUUAAAAACUUUGCUGCAAGAGUUGUCAGAUGUGGCUUUUGAUGGCAGUCUUGCCCUCUUUUGAUGAGAUGCCUUGUUAUUCUAGUUGAAGGUUGAUGCUGAAGUGAUUGGUUGUGUCUUGCAAGUAUUGCUUUGUCACAUUUAGUUACUGGUGUGAUUGAAUAUUUGUCCAUUACCAUUAUCUGACCUUAAAUGAUUUAUGAUUAAUCAGUAAUAUUUUAUUAUUUAAUAAUCCUUUAACACUUAACUAUUGUUUUGAGACCCUGGGAUGGGAUGAUAAAAGCACUCACUUAAGACUGACAAACUUCAGUGUGUUAGUAUUAGACACUAGUAUGCAUGUGUGUGUUUGAGCACCACAUGCAUAGUACAUGAGUGUUAUAUAUUUCAUGUUUUGUGAUAUCAUAUAGGUAUUGUAUAAAGUUGACACAGAUUAUGCUAGAGUCCAUGAGAACAGAUGAGAAGUCAGCAGUGUAUAAAAGGUGCCAACACCCUGCCAUUCUCAGUCCAGCAGAGUAGUUCAAAUGAGAUCCCAAACGGGUCAUCAUGACAUUAUUCCUUCUCAUGUGCUCAAAUAUAUAAGGUAUUUUCGAAACCUGGUAAAAAAAUAGUCAUUUGUAUAUAAUUUUUAUAAUCAAGAUUGUUCAUUAUGACAUGUAUAUAUUUUUUGUAUUUUUAAUGCAUAUUCAUGUGAUUCAUAUAGGUCAUGGAAAUGAAUGAUUUUGUAUAAUGAUUUAUUUUUAUGAACUUAUCUGAAUUUGGGUGAAAAAUUUUCUUCCCUUCACCAGUCAGCACUGCACCAUCCCAGGAGAACCUUUGCCACAGCCAGUAGCCACUACCUGUUUGUGUUAUUGCUGCACCCCAGGUCAGGCACCCACACAGGAGUCUGACACUGUGAUGUUUCAGUUCACACAUCAACAGUGAACGUUGCAAUGAAAAUAAUUUUGAGCAUGCACCUAAAUGGAUUGUGUCAUUAGCAGUUCUGAGCAGAAUGUGUUAUCACUUUUAGCACCAAGGACUGAAGGACUGUGUGUUGAUGGAAAUGCAUACCUGUGAUAAGACUGCAAUGGAGUUUCAAGAUAAUUAAUGGCAUCACUGUUACAGAUGUAUUAGGUGUGCCAUGGGCAGACAUUUAGGAAUACUCUGAUUGAUAUGCUACAUGGAAAGGUUUGCAUGAUAUUAUUAUGAAUUCUGUAUACGUAUUAACAUGUUCACGUCACCAUGUAUCUUAAACUAGAGAUCUUGUGUUGCAUCCAUGAACAUGUUAUUUAGCUGUGUGUGAGAUAACCUUCCAAGAUGUGUCCUUUAGCUGUUGGUGAGGCCACUCUCCAAGAUAAGUGUUGAGCUGAUCCCUUAGCACAGAACUUUCCACCAUUAUCCAUUUAAAUUCAUAGGAUGUACAUUUCUUGCCAUCAUAGUUUUGUUUGGCCCUGGUGGUGUGUCCUGUCAUGCAUACAUCAGUCAGGAUAAAGAAGUCAUUCCAUUGGCUUGCUGCUAUGUAAGGUUUCUGCUUCUGUUACUCAAUAAUGGAUUUGUUUGUAUCGUUGAACUCUACCUAGUUUUGCCAUGAUGGAUGAGGCGUCUGCCCAGCCCAGGACAGAUGCACCACAGUUUGCUGCACCACAUAAACUGUACAUGUGGAAUUGCCUUCCUGAAUGUGCUGGUGGUUAUACUGCAGGUGGGCAGACCCUCUAUGUGAUUACUGGGGCUCUCUUUCCUGUAUCUGAAUCCCUGCAUACCACAGAGUACCUGGUGUGCCUUCACUACACAAGGUCUGCAUCACUGAACAACACCCUGAUUUGACAUGUUUCUUAUUAAUAUUUACCCUUACAACUGAAAUAUUAAGACAAGAGGCUUAAUGUUUAAAAACUAAAACUCCACAAACAUAUCAAGUGGCUAUGUUAAAGAAAUACUAAGAAAGACAAGCUGUUAUAUGCAUGAAUAAGAAACUUCAUACAUUCCCAAAUACAGAACCAGGUUGACUUAAACAGUUCCCUUCCAUCUGGUGCCACAGUAAUGUUAAGGUAUUACAACACAGCAACAGCGGCACAUCAAUGGUGAACUUCCCUGUAUAAAGCAAGAGAAUAUAUCUUAUGUUAGUCUGGAAAAGAAAGCCAGUUAGGUGAUGAUAAAGAAUAAACCAGUUGUUUUCAGCAUCAUCAUUUGAUUAAUUUCUAAAUACAGAAAAAAUAAAAGGUUCAGUAACCAGAUUUUUCAGUGAAUUUGUCAAACAUAAAACUCAUAACACAGAAGAGUUGAAGUGCUUUACUACAUCCUUAUUGGAGAGGCUGAUGGACCUCAGGGAGAAAAGGCUGAGACGUCACUGCAACACCUGAGAGGCUGGUCAGAGAAGCUUGACAACUAAGCUUUAUACCCUUUAACCCACCAACUGCCUGUACAUUUCCAUCUUUUCCUAAAACAAUGACACUGAUCAGCUCACCAAUGGAACAAAGGGAUCAAGGGGUUGUGUGAAGCUUAAACAUCAUAUUAAUCUAAAAUGAAAGCAAAGUAAAAUAAUAUAAUCUUUCUUCAUGCCCAGUUGACAAAUGUCGACUGCUAUGUUUUAUAUGCCUUUGUUUUGCCUCACAAUGGGGACUGUGGAGACUUGGGGUACUGGAGGGACCAAGGGAGUCUGAAAAGGAAUCUGGAGAGGAUUGGAUGGAAGGUGCUUGUUGCUACAACAGAUACUGAAAUUCAAAGCUGUAACUAUCAAACAAAAUAUUUCAUGAAGUGCAAGUCUUCAUGACUAUAAUGUUGCAAGUAUAAGGGUUUACAAACCACUCUUCUACAGAGAUA